UCCCCACCAAGUGCCAUCCUGUCCUUCGCCGGAGAGAGGGGACGGCAAAGAGCACAGCACACAGCACAGUAGCUAGCUAGCCUGACAUGGAGAUCGAUCUCCUGCUCCCUCAUCUCUCUCUGAGAAAAGCUAAAGAGGAGCAAGAUUACAAAAGGAAACCAGCAAGAAACAAAAGCCCAUCCACCUUCCUCCCUUUCCCAGACCAGACAGGCAGCAUGCAGCAAGCAUCAGCAUGUAGUACCAGUACUACUAGUCCAUGCAUGCACUCAUGUGUCAUGAGAGCCAUAGCAUCACUGCAUGCCACACUGGGCUGGGCUAGCUACUGUGCUGUGCAUGCAACAAUACAAGCAAUCAUUGAUUGGUUCCCUUUCCUCUCCUCCAUUCAAACAGACAUGCCUGCCUAGAUCAUUCAAUAUCCUAGUUCCAAACAUUCAUUCACAAGACCAGACAGGAAGGAAUUGAAGCAUGCAUGCUGCUUGUACAGUGUAUUACCACUAGAAUGCAUUGGAACAAACACCUUGUUUUGAUCUUAGGAUGCAUGACUUGUCAAGUUGUCAUGCAUGCAAACAUCUUUGUUUGAUCCCAAGACUUGUCUUGCAUGCAUGCAUGUCUUGCUGGCCCUGACAGGAUCAAAACUGGACUCGAUAUGCAUGAUACUAAAAUGGACUUGUUGCACACAUAUUAAUUGCUCUACUUCUAACUUGUGAAGCUUCCAAUGUAGGGCAAUAUAAAUUAGCAGGGAAAUUAAGCAAUCUGCAACAACUUUGUUGAGUUGUGAAUAUACUGAUUAUUAUUCUAGGGUGUCCUGAGUUUUGCAAUAUAAUGGCCUUGGAGCAACAUUUGAUUAAAGCUCAAGCUAGCAAACCCUAAUGGUAAAGGUAAUAUAUAUUCCUAAUUACACAUGACAUAUUGGCAUCACCAAAGAGAGUGUUAGCCACAUCUGGAUUAACUACUACGGGAGUACUACUACACUUAAUCGGCACACAAAAACUAAUAACUUGGAAAGCAAGCACGUAUAGUAGCAAUACCAUGGCUUACGAGCAUGAUAAUUUGAGAAUGCAAUCAGGUACAGAGACUAGGCUGCCGCUUGCACGUUCAUGUCGGAGACAGUGCGUCUCCUCUUGGGCCGGUCUCCGGCGCCGGCCGCCGCUCCGUGCCUCUCCACGAGCGCCCUCAGCGCUUCCUUGAGGAAGUCACCUCCGCCAUCGUCGUCCUCAGCGCCGGCGUCGCGGGCCAGGACGAGCACGUUGCGGACGCGGCCGCCGAGGGUGGCCAUCUCGGCGCGGAGGGUGCGCAGGCGGAGCGCGCGCAGCGUGUCGAUGAGGCCCGGGAGGAGGUCGGAGCGGUCGUCGCAGCAGACGGAGGCCUCGAACACGCCGCCCGACGAAGCCAGCACCACGAUCUCGUCGUGCUCCGUCGGGAACAGCUGCGGCGUCGCCGCGGCCGAUUCGGCGCCAAUGCCGGCCAUGCGCUGCUUCAGGUCGCGCACCCUCUCCACCGCCUUCGCCAGCAGCGACGCCUUGUCAAUCUGCAAGCACACACAAACGCACACGAGUUAAGUAAUUAAACUCCAUCGAUCAGUACAUACGUAUUAUUUUCCACAGUUAAUUAAUUAAUUAAGCUCUCAGAUCACGAACCCUAGAGGAGGAGCUUCUAAUUGUGAUUUAGGAAUUGAUAGAUCGCUAUUCCAUCAAUUAGCAACGGAUGGUAGCAAAUUAAUCCAUGCAAUCCUGUACUAGGAACUACUACAAGGAGACAUAGUACUAGGCACAAAAGAAGCAAAUCAUGAAAAGAGUAAUUGACAAGCCAAGCGACGACGACAACCCUAAGCCGGCCCCUAACGACCUAUACUCUAGCUGCCAUAGCCCAUAGGAGAGGCUCCCUUCUACUGUCCCAAAAACAGAACCAGCUUUAAUCACAAUAACUUAGCUGAGCAGAACGCACCAGCUACGUAUGGAGUAUAGCAAUAGAUCUAGCAUCUAGCAAUACUGCCAUCUAGAUCAUGCCGAUUCAAUUCUCGCUGCAGGAAACAGCAUCGCUUAAUCGAACCACAUACAGAAAUUCAGGGGGAAUUAUGCAGGAGGAGGGAGCAAUUAAGCUAGGCUAAUCGAUCUAGUUAGCUAGCCAAUCGAGCGAGAGGAGACGUGAAUCGCAUGCCUUGGGGUCGCAGGCGAGGACGGCGCGGAGGCGGUCGAGGUGCGACUUGAUCCGCUCGCGGCGGCGCUUCUCCGCCUCUCGGUGGUUCCUCGUCGCCGCCACCGCGCGCUCGUGCAGCGCCGCCUCAGCCAUGGCCACCGCCGCCUCGUCCUCCUCCUCUGAGCCCGCCGCGCCCGCGCCUCCUCCGCCCGCCGCCGCCGCCGGCCACAUGGAUCCCAUGAAGAAGGGCGGCAGCCCCGCCGCCGCCUCUCCCUGCCUCGGCGCCGCCACACCCGCCUCGACGACGAACGUCGCCGCCUCCGCCGCCGGAAACAUAUAUAUCCGCCGGAGCACGUGCUAGCUUCUCGAUGGAUCGAUCGAUCGCCGGCUAGCUAGCCUUCACGAGGCCUCAACGGGAGCGCGCUAUAGGCUAUAGCUGCUGCUUAAUGGCGAGUGGCGGUUGGUUAAUUGCCGCGAUGGUGUUGUAGCGUGAGCCUUUGCCGAUAGCGGAGAGGCCGAUACUACUACUAUUCAUAGGAUUUGGAAGAAGGGGAGAGAGACGGCCGGAUGGGAUGGGGCGAUGGGGGUGGGGAGGGGAGAAUAAAUAAACGAACUGGACUUCGGGUGAGAGAGAUGGCCAGAGAAAAGAAAGAGGAAUGUUUGAGCGUGACCGGGUGAGUCAUUAGCGAGUGGCUUGUGGGCCUUGCCACUGGGCUGGGCCCAAGUGUUGACUCGUCAGACAGAGAGAGAUAAAAGAGGAGGCUCCCUGGGAGCUAGGUGUUGGGCUAGAGCCGUCGAGAUGGGGCGAUUGGACGGCUGCGAUGGUGCCGACCUUGCGCCCACGUCGCGCUCCGAGGAGAUACGGGUUUCUGUACUGGCCGUGAUGGGAUCGUUUGACUUUAAUCCGUUCGUGAAAAAGAAACACGCUCCGUAGAUUCAAGGGAAUGUUUGUUUGUCGGUCUAUUUUUCAUAUUUGUUAGAGCUGCAACUUUGUGACUCUCAGUAUAUCUUUGACCCUACUUAAUUCAACCAAAUGAAUUAAAGUUUCAAAAUGACAUAAUUUUUUGAAAAGCUAGUUCAUUCGUUUGAAGUAAGCAGGGUCAAAGGAUACCUUGAGGGUCACCAUGUUGCACCCUUACUCUCUGUUAGGAUUGGAUAGACCAACCACACUUCUCUGCAAUCUGGAUUAAUCCCCAAGAUUUUUUUAAGAAAACUUACUAUACUCCAGAUUCAUCCUCAGUGAAGAGAGACGAGUUACACAUUGUGGGUAUUACCGAUUAAAUUAGUUUAUGCCAAUGCAUGUACUUUCUCCGUCCAACAAUAAGGCGUAUUAGCUUUUCUUUGACCAAUGCUUUGACCACAAAUUACUGUAUUAAUAUAUAAUUAUAUGAUAUAAAUUUAUAUCCAUUAUAUUCCUAUUCAAGGAUAUUUGCUUAGAGAUAUGAUUUUGAUCACAUUAUUCACAUAUUCAUGAAAUAAUUUGUGUUCAAAGUUUUGGUUAACCCAAACCUAAUAUGUUGGACCGAGCGAGUACGAGUACCAGCAUACUAGCUAAUGAGUUGCAUCAUCGCCUGGGCUGAGAGUAAUGAUUGUACAAGACACGAGUGCGCGCUAGCUCUCUACACCGCUUGGUAACCCGUGCAGAUCAUGCUAUUAUGCUGCUCAAUGAGCUUUGCCCCCUGCGCCCUCUCUCGUCCUUUGCGGCUAACUUCUUCCACCAAAAGAUCCCGGCCCGCCCUGCUGCUGCAAAUACACCGUCUUAUUUCCACGAUGUCAUCAUAUAACCAACCCAAUGGCAAUGAGGCAAUGGCCAGGCCUCAGCUUUGGGCUGCCGCCCGGGCCCUUAAUUUUGUCAGGACGUACGAGGGCAAGUAUAUAUAUGAAGCAUUGAGAUACGCUAUGAAUGAAGAUAUAUAUCCCCACUCUGACAGCCUCAAGUAGAAACCACGAUGUUAUCCGGAUUAUAUAUACAUACCUGAGCCCUGAGCCCUAUAGCAAAACUCGACAUGAUGCUUAAUUCUUGGUGCUUACUGUAGUGAGGACACCAUUGCUACGGAUCUUGACGGCGGAAGUAGCACCUCAGCAAAAUUUCCACGGAAGGGGAUGCCAAAAUGGAACUAAGGGAUUUGUGUACAAAUUAUCCAUAUAAGCGAGGAAAAUGGAAUUAUCUGAAAGGGAAGCACAGUUGAAAGUGUCUUAUUUUCCUAUAGAGUAGUAUUCGACUAGUACACAUACUAACACUAAACCUUUUCAUUUUAGUACCUGAUCUCUGCUUGUGUACCUUUCUGCAAGCAACUUCGAUCAAUCCCUGCAGUGACUGCAUCUUGUAGACUGUACUUCUUAAAACACACCUUCAAUUUUGCUGUAGUGGCUUGCAGCUUCGAAUUUUCUAUGUUGCUGACGAGAUGUACUAACUGCAACAGCUGCAACUAUUCAUUGGGGGAAAACAUAGUACUUGUAUCUAAAAAAACACAUACUCCCACCGUUCCAAAAAAAUUGGCGUGGGUUUGAACUAGAGCUACUUUAAAACCGUGCCAAUCUUUAUGGAACGGAGAGAGUACUUGUGUCGUAACAUAUCUUCUACCGAAUAACCUGUAUCUCAGAAACUAAUUAUACUUGGUUCUUUCUAUAAGAUGUUCUAGCUUUGUUUUAUAGGAAAAUCUUCCAACAACUACAACUCUAGCUUAAUUUUAUAUUAAAUCAGUCAUCCUAUAGUAAUACUUAUUUGAUAUUGUAAAUAUUGGUACAGUAUAUUUUUCUGUAAACUUGGCCAAACUUUAACAAGGAAGGAGUAGUAUAAUGCAUGCUAUUUAAUUACUAUGAAAUGAAAUCCUUUGAAUUUUUUCCGAAUUGAUAACUGGCAAUCGUAGGGAAACUCACCCCCCUCACAGAAACAUAAGAAAAACAGAGUACUUGAACCAACAAUUGUGAUUCCUCAAAACUGAAUUGUUUCUCGGAUGAUCACCUACAGCAAGAUCACCGUUCAUUACAGAGUAUGAAUCCUUCCAAUAUUAAGCAUCCUUGAGCACUCAUGAUCUCGUAGCAGUUACAAACAUUUAAUCCCCACUCUGCUGUUUUGCAUCAUAGAGUUGUGUCUGGCAGUAUCUUGACAUCCAGGUGCAUAUAGCAACCAUCAACCUACAGAUCAAGCUCUACCCUUCGCUACCGGGGACAUGGAUUGGUAAUAUUGUCCUACGGCCAUUCCUACCUGUUUCUGUGCCAGAGGAUGUUGCGGCCAACCCCGGGCUCGUGCAGUUCAUCACCGAGGAAGAUGCCCCUUGCUGGAACAAAUGGCGAUGGACUGAUAUAUACCUGCAGAUUGCGAUGUUAGUACGGCUGGCUGAUCUAUACAAAAGCUAAACUCAUUUAAGAGACAUGCAAUGCUUGAUGAAUGAAUUGAGUGAGGCAAGAUAGAUACAUAUGGGUUUCUUAAAAUUCAACACUUGAUACAUGCAUAACUUCUCACAGUGUUGCAUAACUUUUGCAAUGCUAGAUGAAAGAAGUGUCUUAGAGCUAGUAUUACUUUGUACUAACUUAGUACAAAAUCUGAGACACUUAUUAUGGAUCGGAGGGAGUAGUAAUUAGUAAAAGCUACCUUAUGCAGGCACACUUAUAUGUAUUUACACAUCUAAGAGCAAGAAAGAAAAAAGGAAGAAGCCAGUCCUCAAUAGAUCCAUAUAUAGAUCUAAUAUGGCAUUUCUAUUUCAAGUAUAGAGUUAUAAGAAAGAUCAAAUAUACAUAUAUCAAUUUAAAAGGAAGUAGCUCACAUAUGGCAGGAGGCACAUACUCAAGUAGGAUCAAUCCAUAAAACAAGCUUUUUAUGAGCAAUGAAAGCAACAAAUUAUCUGCUUCCAGCGACUUCAUCAACUAUCUAUAUUACAAUAUUGAAAAAAAAAACUAGAAAAAUAAUAUUGAUUUAAUGGUCUCCUGUGGAAUGAUGAUGGAAAUUCAAAGGCCAAACAGAAAACAGUUCCUUCCAAAUCACAAGUGAGACUGUUAGUUUGCAUAUCAGGAGUACAUUACUGUCUGUUGGGCGGGCAGUGGCAGUGUCACUUCAAGACUUUGGGGUCACCUGAUCCCACAAAUUCUUUGAGAAACUAUCCAUACAAGUGAAAUACUCCAUAUAAAAACAUAGAAAACAACGCAAAUUCAGGGAAAUCAUGUAUUUCAUCCCACAGUGAUACAGCCCUAGCACCGCCACGGUUCUGGGAAAAGGGAUAAUGAUAUACAAUACCUUCUUGAGAAUCACCUUCCUCCCAAAGUGGAGCGGCAUCCUCAACACUGCUAUCAGAGGUCUUUGAGUUCCCAGCAUCAUCUUUGCUAGUUGUGCCCUUCACUGAUUCUUCAUUUGGUGCACUCCUGGGAACAUCACCAAAUGAUCAUUCACCUCUUGAGCUUUGUAUGUCAAGGAAUAUUAUAUUCAUAUUUAUCGAACCUGCUAGCACACUCAGGAGCAAUUUUUCUGUAACUUAGAAACAUAAGUGACAGCAAAGGUGUAAAUUAUCGGUGUGUCAUUAUUAAAAUUUACUGUAAUCUGUGUUAGAACACAGCUGCAUAAUUAUUCCAUCAACCCUUUUGAUCAAAUAAGGUGCUAACUAUGCUCUGUUGACAAUCUUUUAUAAAAACCAGCCGGUGUUUCCACAGAAUAUGAAGUACAAUCUGAAGUACCAUACAAAUAAACUGCACAGCAAUGAGACAUUUGCAACUAGCCAGUACGGAGAUCUAGCAUUUCUCAAAUAGGAUAAACCUACGAUCCCAUUAAUUGCACUUUGAUCCGAUGCUUGACGCGACGCGCAUCAUCAAAAAAGAUGGCAGGUGCUAACUCCCUAAUAUUGCUAUGGAAUAACACAAUGGCCAAUUGGACUCGCCUCAAACGCCAAAGUCGUGCUUGCCUCUGAACACAACAAGCCUAUACACACCGCUCGGCGACCACCUCACAUUAGAAGUCAUCUAGUAGAGCCAUUCAGGACUAGAAUCCUAACCUGGUCUCGAGGUCGAUGGUGUGGCUGAUGCCAGCGCUGACAAAUUCCCCCUCCUUGGAAGCAUUGGACCCCUUAUCGAACAGCUGGUGCACCUGCUCUGCUACUUUCUGUUCCUCCCCUGCUCUGUCCUCACCAAGGUUCGAUGACGGCGGGCCAUGGUGCAGACCUCGGGGCACAGGAGUGUAGAAGCUGACAACUGGAAGCAAAUUACUGAGGCCAUCGUUGAUUGUGAACUGGCCAGUAACCUUCCUCACCACUUCGGACUGCAGGUCGAUUGUGAAGACGCCAGCAUCCGUGAGCACGAAAAUGACAUUUGCUCCCUCGGCAAAUCCCAACACAACCACUGGUUCUUGUAGAGCACCGUUUGGUAGCAACUUGUCCAAGCAGAUGACCCGGCUCAGUACCCAUCCUUUAUGUCUGCCAUCACUUGCCUCCUCCGACGAAUCUGUAUCACUGCCAUCAAUCGCCUCCUCAGACGAAUCUGUAUCACUGCCAUCACUUGCCUCUUCCGGCGAAUAUGUAUCACUGCCAUCAAUCGCCUCCUGCCAUGACCACACUUUGAGUUCUUUCUUUUCGGAUUCACUGAUAACUCCCAGUCCACCGUCCACCGUCAGCAUGAGGUUACGUUCCAACUCAAAUUCUGGUAGGUCGAUCGAAGCCAGGGAGUGCCUAGCCACGUCAUACUCCAGGAUAUUCCCUUCUGACAUGCCCUGCAUGAAGUAGAGCAGAGAUCUCCCAACGAGCACGCUGGAAGUGUAUGAUGAAUACCAGCCCAACAAGCCGUGCAACACGAUCGGUUCGCCCCACGUGCCAGUCUCCGACGAAUAUGCCAUCGCCGUCGUGCUACUCGUCAGGAGACCCCGCUUGUCCAUGAGGCCGAAGACGAAGGCCACGCGGAAAGGACCCCCGAGGCAGUCGCGGUGGUCGCACCCGUCCGCUGCACAGAACACGGCCGCGUUGGAGGAACCUCUCCUGUACGCUUCAGGCACGGGUACAGGUACGCGCUGCUGGGUGCGCGUGAUUGGUUCCCAAAUGAGGAGCCGUACAACUACAGGGACCUGGCCCUCGGAGAGGAAGAGGGCGCGGCCGUGGCGGGAAUCCAGGGCCCGCCAGGAGCGGUAGUCCGGGGCGCCGACGAGGGAGAAGGGCGACGCGGUUGUGUGGAUGAAGCGGGGGAUGUUGUCCCAGUUGUUGCCGUGGAGGACGCCAAGCAUGGGGGGUGUCCGGGUCCGGUGGAGAGCGAGGAGGCGCUCGCGGAAUCUGCGGGAGGAGACGACUUUGCUCCAUCUCUUGCUGGUGAGGGAGGCGCGGAAGAGGCACGCUGGUUCGUCGGGCGAGAUACGGAGGAAGAUCUCCUCUAUGAGCUCUUUGGGGAGGGUCGGCAGCGAGCGGCCGCGGCGGCGUUCCAUGGCGCUCGCUUCGCUGGGCGCGGAGUUGGGGUUUUUGGGUUUGGGGCGGUGGCCGGUGGAAUGGAGUAAAUUGACAGAUUGUACUGUAGGUCCGUAGUUGACAGCUCAUGGGUGUGUUUGGUUUGCUUUUAAAACACAUCAAGCCAAUUUUUUGGUCAUUGAUUAAAAUUUGGUGUUUGUUUGAAUGGUGACCAAAUAUUUGGCUAGUAAAUAUUUCGUAGCCAACUUUAGUUCAAUUUUUUGAUCAAAGUUGGCCAACUCAUAGACUAGCAAAACCAUCACCAAUUAUUUGGCUAGCCAAAAUUUUGGUAGGCCUACUUUGGGUUCAAACCAAACAGUUCCUAUAUUUUAACUUGGCCCUCCCUCGAUUAAAAGUUGGUUGUUUGCUUCGAUAGAUAAUACAUCUUGAGGGGUGUUUUUACAAAUGAGUCUACCAAACUACGAAAUCUUGAGGAAUCAUCGAACCUUCGAGAUUCAAAGAGAAAUGGUGCUAAAAAAGUAAAAUGCAUCAGAGGUCCCAAUUCUUUCGCCAAGUUAGUCCUAAUUUUUUAAAACUGUAUAUUUGAGUUCCAAUUGUUUCGUAAGUGGUUCAGCACAGGUCCUAAGGUCCUAAGAUGGCUCAGGCAGAUGCCUGGUGUCUACGUGGCUAUUUGGGCCGUGUCUACGUGGCUAUUUGGGCCCACAUGUCACGUGCUAAGGUGGACUGUUUUUUUUUCAAAAAAGACCCUGCCUCUUUCCUUCCUCUUCCCCGUGCCCCCUCUCCUCUUGUUCCUCUCUCCCCGAAGCUCUGUCCCCCUAUGUUCUUCUCCUCCCCGAACAACCCUGCCUCCCUCGAGCUCACCCUCGACGACGGCUAGAAAUUGAUGGGAUUCUCGGGGAUUCGCACCGGAUUGGAGAUGGGAUUCUCCCCGAAAUUCCACCGACGACGGCCAAAAAUUGCCAAUGAAUACACCGGAUUAGAGAACCAAUCAAAGGCUGGAGUCUUAUUCGCGCCUCUCCAGUCCUCGCUGUGCCCUCCUUCGCCGCCGGCGAGCCUGCGCUGCUGUCCCCGCGCUGUGGCCUCUCUGUCUGGCUGCCGUCGCCAUUAGUGAGGACGUCGUCGCCUCCCCGAUCUCUGUCCCCAUCUCCCUCUCCUUUUCUCCGUACGGAGGGAGAUGAGGGCGCCGCCACCGGGCGCUAGCCACCAGGAGCAGGGAUGGUGAGCGGCGGAUCUCGCCGUGCUCGGAGAAGUAGGCGUCACAGAGAGGCUUCCGGUGAUCGAGGUAGCGCUCCAGGGGGCUCGAGACAUGCGCUCCAUCGCGAGGAGCCGGAUGGCGUCGAGGCCGUCGCGGAUCCGCCGCUGCAGAAGGCCGGCGACUGCGAGCUGGAGGCGGCCGGCGGGGUGUUCGACGCGGGGGAGAUGCGGGGCGUGGGAGACUCGGGCAAGCGCACCGGAGGACGUGCGGCGGCGCUGCGGUGCUCUCGAUGAAGGCGGAAGGGCGAUGGAGGCCAUGGUUGCGCGGAUCGAAGCGGGCUGCGCUUCCGUCGGACUUCGGGAAGACGAGCGGCGUGAGGCUUCUCGGGGCGCAUGCGGCUGCCAAAAACUGCAGAGGAGGACGCAGUGUGGUGCGUUGGAUCUGCUUGGUGCGGCGUAGGGCGCGAGGGUGGGCCAGAGCGGUGAGGGGAGCUCGCGCGCCGGAGUUCGUGGCCUGGGGAGGAGAAGAACAUAGGGGGAGAGAGCUUUGGGGAGAGAGGAAGAAGAGGAGAGGGGGCACGGGGAAGAUGAAGGAAAGAGGCAGCGUCUUUUUGGCAAAAACUUUCCAUCUUGGCAUCUGACAUGUGGGUCCAAAUAGCCACGUAAGCAUCAGACACGCGCCCGAGCCACCUUAGGACCCGCGCCGAACCACUUACGAAACAAUUAGGACUCAAACGUGCAGUUUCAAAAAAUUGGGACUAACUUGGAACUUUUACGAAAGAAUUGGGAUUUCUGAUGCAUUUUACUCGUGCUAAAAUAAUUCUGAUGAAAAACGAGAUGGUGACUCUAUUUUUUUUAAUUAUUAUUAUUGUUGUUGUUGUUGUUGUUGUUAUUAUUAUUAUUAUUGUUACUACUACUACGUCUCGACUCCAUCUCACAAACCUGACCUAGGGUUAAAAGCACUUGCUCAAGAGAAGAGGGAGGAUGAUAAAUUUGAGAGAACCAUCUACCUGCUGCUUUGAAACAAAAUUCCUUUGGGAGUUGAAAGAAUGCCACGAACUGUGACGUGAGGCGUAGCGAGAAGAUCAACAGGAGGUUUCAGGCGGCUAGGGUUUUCAUGCCCUUUGCUGGCGGCGCCCCGCCACCGAUGGCUUUCCUGGCCAUGGAGGUGUGGCGGAUUCCGACCGGUCGCCGACAGAAGGAUUUCUCGUUUCUUGUUUUACUUUUUUUUUCAGUGUCUUCUUCGACAUGGCGAAGUGGCGCGAAGGUCCUCCCCUCACUCCGGUGGUGUGCUAGGCGGUGGUGGAGGGUGUGUGGAGUUGUGUGUCUCGCAAAUCCUUUGGGACCGAGUCAAUUUUCUAGGUUUCCGACGAAUUCCUUUGGUUCCGGUCAAUUUUCGUGUUCGUUUGUUUGGUUCAGUUCCGGCUCUUCCGGUCUAUGGUUCUCAUCUUUGACGAUGAUUACUGCUCUGGUGUGCUGGUUUUCUAAGACCCUAGCAUGACGACUUCCUCACCGUCCACUACAACAAACUUUGCUUGUGUUAGUGCCCCCGUUCUUUUCGGUUUCUAGGAUGGGCUUCUCCGAGAAGCUGCUCUUUCCCAGCUUCCGGAAGAAGCCGCAUGUGAAAUUUUGUUAGGUUUCCAAAUUAGGUUAGCCCAACCUAAUCUGGAAACCUAGCAAAAAAAUUAUGGCGGCUUCUCCAGGAAGCUGGGUGAGAGCAGCUUCUCCGAAAAGCCCAUCCUGAAAGCCGAAAAAAAAGGGACUGGUAUCUCUUUCUGCAAGCAACUUCAACUGCGUAAAACACACCUUCAAUUUUGUUGCAGUGUCUUGCAGCUUCAAAUUUUCUAUGUUGCGACGAGAUGUACUAACUGGAAUGGCUGCAACUAUUCAUGGGGGAAACAUAUACUUGUUUAUCUAAAAAUACAUAGUCUCCCUCCGUCCCAUAUUAUUUCUAAAUAUUAAAUAUGUGUAAUAUUUCGACACUUAAUAUGGGCCGGAGGGAGUACUUGUUUCGAAACAUAUCUUCUACCAAAUAACCUGUAUCCCAGAAAGACAGAAACUAACUACUUGGUUCUUUCUAUAAGAUGUUCUACCUUUGUUUAUAUGAAAAUCUUCCAACAACUACAACUCUAGAUUAAUUUUAUAUUAAAUCAGUCAUCUUAUAGUAAUACUUAUUUGGUACUAUUGUAAAUAUUGAAAUAUUUUUCUUUAAACUUGGCCAAACUUUAACAAGCAUGGAGUAGUAUAAUGCAUGCUACUCCGUAUUUAAUUAUAUGAAAUGAAAUCCUUUGAAUUUUUUUCCGAAGUGAUAAAUGGCAAUCGUAGGGAAACCCACUCCCUUCGCACAGAAACAUAGGAAAAACAGAGUAAUUGAACCAACAAUUGCGAUUAAUCAAAACUAAGUUGUUUCUCGGAUGAUCACCUGCAGCAAGGUCACUGACGAGGGGCUACUUCGGCAUACCCAAACUAAGAGCUUUCGACUAGGGAGAGCACGGGUGUGUGUUAGCGAUUCUGUCGGCUAACAAAGAUCGCAAGGUUUACCCAGAUUCAAGACCCUCGGAAAGUAAUGCCCCUACAUCCUACUUGUCUGAUCUGUAUUGAUGGAGAGAUUAUAAGGUUGCCAUGGAGACGUGUAUUAGAGAUGAGAUCUGUGGAUCCGUCUAACAGAGAAUAGGAUCUCCUCCCCGGCUCCCCUUUCCGGUCCUUUAUAUAGGAGGUAUAAAGGAGGCUAGGUCACGGACGUAGAGUCCGGGUUGAUUACAAUUAGAGAUAAAUCCUGAUUUGGUUUCUUUAAUUAUCUGUUUUUAUCUUGAGCCGCAAGCCAAGGUACUCAGGCUUCACAGAUUGUAGUGGGCCUCCAAGUGGACCCCAUGUUGAGCCGUAGCAAGUAUACCAAAGGUGAGGACCCGAAGGGUCAUUCCCUCGUCAGUCACCACGGAGUAUGGAAUGGAUCCUUCCAAUAUUAAGCAUCCUUGAGCACUCAUGAUCUCGUAGCAGUUACAAACAUUUAAUCCCCACUCUGCUGUUUUGCAUCAUAGAGUUGUGUCUGGCAGUAUCUUUACAUCCAGGUGCAUACAGCAACCAUCAACCUACAGAUCAAGCUCUACCCUUCGCUACCGGAGACAUGGAUUGGUAAUAUUGUCCUACUGCCAUUCCUACCAGUUUCUGUACCAGAGGAUGUCGUGGCCAACCCCGGGCUCGUGCAGUUCAUCACCGAGGAAGAUGCCUCUUGCUGGAACAAAUGACGACAGACUGAUCUAUACCUGCAGAUUGAGAUGUUAGUACGGCUGGCUGAUCUAUACAAAAGGCUAAACUCAUUUAAGAGGCGUGCAAUGCUAGAUGAAUGACUUGACCGAGGCAAGAUAGAUACAAAUGGGUUGCUUAAAAUGCAACACUUGAUACAUGCAUAACUUCUCACCGUGUUGCAUAACUUUUGUAACACGUGGUUGUUGAAACGAAGGAGCUUUUAUGUACUAAAAGCUACCUGAUGCAAGUACAGUAUUAUGUUUUACAUCUAAGAGCAAGAAAGAAAAAAGGAUGAAGCCAGUCCUCAAUAGAUCCAUAUAUACAUCUAAUAUGGCAUUGCUAUUUCAAGUAUAGAGUUAUUAGAAAGAUCAAAUAUACAUAUAUAAAUUUAGAAGGGAAAUAGCUCACAUAUGGCAGCAGGCACACACUCAAGUAGGAUCAAUCCAUAGAACAAGCUUUUUAUGAGCAAUGAAAGCAAAAAAUUAUCUGCUUCCAGCGACUUCAUCAACUAUCUAUAUUACAAUAUUGAAAAAAACACUAGAAAAAUUAAUAUUGAUUUAAUGGUCUCCUGUGGAAUGAUGAUGGAAAUUCAAAGACAGAAAACAAUUCCUUCCAAAUCACAAGUGAGACUGUUAGUUUGCAUAUGCAGGAGUACAUGACUGUGUUGGCCGGGCAGUGGCAGUGCCACUUCAAAACUUUGGGGUCACCUGAUCCCACAACAUCUUUGAGAAACUAUUCAUACAAGUGAAAUACUCCAUAUGAAAACAUAGAAAACAACGCAAAUUCAGGGAAAUCAUGUAUUUCAUCCCACAGUGAUACAGCCCUAGCACCGCCACGGUUCUGGUUAAAGGGAUAAUGAUAUACAAUACCUUCUUGAGAAUCACCUUCCUCCCAAAGUGGAGCAGCAUCCUCAACAUUGCUAUCAGAGGUCUUUGAGUUCCCAGCAUAAUCUUUGCUAGUUGUGCCCUUCACUGAUUCUUCAUUUGGUGCACUCCUGGGAACAUCACCCAAAGGAUCAAUCACCUCUUGAGCUUUGUAUGGGAAGGCACACUAUAUUCAUAUUUAUCGAACGUGCUAGCACGCUCAGGAGCAACUUUUCCGUAACUUUGAACCCUAAGUGACAGCAAAGGUGUAAAUUAUCGGUAUGUCAUUAUUAAAAUUUACUGUAAUCUGCGAUAGAACACAGCUGCAUAAUUAUUCCAUCAACCCUUUUGAUCACAUAAGGUGCUAACUAUGUGCUCUAUUGACUGUCUUUUAUAACAAGCAGCUGGUGAUUCCACAGAAUAUGAAGUACAAUCUGAAGUACCAUAAAAAUAAACUGCACCGCAAUGAUACAUUUGCAACUAGCCAGUACAGUACGUAGAUAUAACAUUUCUCAAAUAGGAUAAAUCUAUCAUCCCAUUAAUUGCACUUUUAUUUGAUGCUCGACGCGACACACGCAUCAUCGAAAAGGAUGGCAGGUACUAACUCCCAAAUAUUGCUAUGGAAUAACACAAUGGCCAAUUGGACUCUCCCUCAAACACCAAAGUCGUGCUUGCCGCCGAACACAACAAGCCUAUACGCAACGCUCGGCGACCACCUCACAUUAGAAGUCAUCUAGCAGAGCGAUUCGGGACUAGAAUCCUAACCUGGUCUCGAGGUCGACGGUGUGGCUGAUGCCAGCGCUGUCAAAGUCCCCCUCCUUUAAAGCAUUGGACCCCCUUAUCGAACAGCUGGUGCACCUGCUCUGCUACUUUCUGUUCCUCCCCUGCUCUGUCCUCACCAAGGUUCGAUGACGGCAGGCCAUGGUGCUCACGUCGGGGCACAGGAGUGUAGAAGCUGACAACUGGAAGCAAAUUACAGAGGCCAUCGUUGAUUGUGAACUGGCCAGUAACCUUCCUCACCACUUCGGACUGUAGGUCGAUUGUGAAGAGGCCAGCAUCCGUGAGCACGAAAAUGACAUCUGCUCCCUCAGCAAAUCCCAACACAACCACUGGUUCUUGUAGAGCACCGUUUGGUAGCAACUUGUCCAAGCAGAUGACCCGGUUCACUACCCAUCCUGUACCAGCGCCAUCACUUGCCUCCUCCGAUUAGGCCUGUUAAUGGUGAGGACUCGUAUGGUUUUUUCGGUGUGGAACUUGACGUGGGCUCGACUGGAUUGGGCUCAAACGGGUGGAGAGGAAAAUCGGGAUGGACUGGUUUGGUUUUUCUAAAAACGCGACCUGGUGUGGUCUGGUUUGGUCUGAGAACACGAGAUGCUAUGUUUGCGUGCUGCUUGUACUCAUGCCGCACUACUGUUAGCGUACGUACGUGGGUGCUUUUGUUGCUGUGGGUCGAAUAUUUGGGUUCAAACCGUGGUUUCUGAAUUGGUUUCGGUUCAGGAUGGAUGGAAACUCCGCAUGGUGCGGUGUGGUUUGGGUUUUCUGAUUAGAUUUGUGGUCCGGUCGGGGUUGGUUAACACACGUGAUGUUGCAUGGAACAGCUUGGGUUCGAUGCGGUUUUAACCCAUUUACCAGGCCUACCUCCGAUGACUCUGUAUCACUGCCAUCAAUCGCCUCCUGCCAUGACCACACUUUGAGUUCUGACUUGUAGGAUUCACAGAUAACUCCCAGUCCACCGUCCACCGUCAGCAUGAGGUUAUAUUCCAACUCAGGAUCUGGUAGGUCGAGCGAAGCCAGGGCGUGCCUAGCCACGUCGUACUCCAGGAUAGUCCCUUGGUCCGACGAGAAGUAGAGCAGAGAUCUCCCAACGAGCACGCUGGAAAUGUGUGAUGAAUAGUAGCCGUACUCGUCGUGCAUCACGGUCCGUUGGCCCCAGGUGCCGGUCUCCGACGAAUAUACCCUCGCCGACGUGCUGGCCGUCGAGAGAUCCCACUUGCGCAGCACGAGGCCGAAGACGAAGGCCACGCGGAAAGGACCCCCGAGGCAGUCGUGGUGGUCGCACCCGUCCGCUGCACAGAACACGGCCGCGUUGGAGUGCCCGCUCCUGUACGCUGCAGGCACGGGUACAGGUACGCGCUGCUGGGUGCCCGUGAUUGGCUCCCAAACGAGGAGCUGUGGAGGGACCUGGCCCUCAUCGGAGAGGAAGAGGGCGCGGCCGUGGCGGCAAUCCAGGGCCCGCCAGGAUCGGUAGUCCGGGGCGGCGAGGGAGAAGGGCGACGCGGUUGUGUGGAUGAAGCGGGGGACGUUGUUGUCCCAGUCGUUGCCGUGGAGGACGCCAAGCACGGGGGGUGUCCGGGUCCGGUGGAGAGCGAGGAGGCGGUCGCGGAAUCCGCGGGAGGAGACGACUUCGCUCCAUUUCUUGCUGGCGAGGGAGGCGCGGAGGAGGCACGCUGGUUCGUCGGGCGGGAGACGGAGGAAGAUGUCCUCGAUGACGUCUUCAGGGAGGGUUGGUAGCUUGCCGCGGCUGGGUUCCAUGGCGGUGGCGCUCGUUUCGCUGGGGGCGGAAUUGGGGGUUUGGGUUUGGGGCGGUGGUCGGUGGCCGGUGGCGAAGACGGUGGAAUGGAGGAAAUUGAAAUCUGGACCGUAGUUUUUUUAGCGCACCUUAAAGGCAGGGUGUUCCUCCGUUUCAUUACAUAAUAAAUAAAAUCGUUCAGUUAAUUAGAAAAAAUCGGACAAAAAUCAGAUAUAAAGGUAACGAAGCUCCUAACGAUCAACGGAAGGACCAAACCGAAAGACAAACGCACCACCUACACGCCAACCCACCAACGGAGCAACUGAAGAAGAACCCCGCCACAGAAAACACAACGGUUCUCCAUUGAGCAAGCCAGAUCCGGCGUGACCCACCAGGGAGGGGCGGUAGGACCUCGACAGGCUCCAAGGAGCAUGGAAGAAGCAUCGACAGAGCACCGCACCACCACACCGCACGCACCGCCGCCCGCCGAAUGGGUGAGAAACCGAAACCGCUAUGGGAAGAGCAGAUUUGGGCCGCCCCGACACAGGAGGAGGUGAGGCGCGCCUCAAGAGCCCGGCGUUUCCAACGCUUUAGACAAACCGACGACCGUCUUCACCCCCUUCCGAGGCCGCCGCCAUCGCUUGCCAAAGCAAAAUCCGCGCCCAGCACGCCAUAUCCACUGCCCGGAAAACCAUGGCCCCUUCCCGGAAUCGCCGUCCUGGCAUCCACCGUGACAGCCACGCCGGCCAGAGGCCCGCAUGCCGACGCCUCGCCUCGCACGGGGCAGGCAGACGCCCCGACUGCACCAGAUCAGCAGCCAGAGACACCUCCCCGGAAACCCCCGGCGUCCGCCAUCAAGGCCGACCAGGCUGGCCGCCGGCAACGAAGCCUCACCACCGCCGGCCAGCAGCAGAAGCGGCGCGACCACUGCGCCGGUCAUCGCUGAAUCCCCGCGGCCCCAACUCCGGCCACCACCGGAUCCCCGCUCCUGCCGCCGCGCCUGGCAAGCACGCACGCCAGCGCCAGAUCCCGCCGUCGCCUCCGCCUUCCGGAGCCCACGUCGCCGAGGACGCCGCCAUCAAGCCGCCCGGGGCCUCCGUCCCGACCUCCGCGCUCCCGUCCGCCCGAGGGCGCCUCCGCCGCAAAGAAACCCCCACUGCCCUUCGAGGAGUGGGGCCCGCCGCCACCGCGACAGAGGAGGCCGGCGGCAGCGGCGGCGAGAUGGAGGUGAGGAGGGGCCCGAGCGGCGGCGGCUAGGGUUUCGCCCCGCUGCCGCCCGCGGGAGCGACACGGGACGAGGGUAUGUUGAAGAUAUGUGUGAUCAUCUGGAUCGUAGUUGAUGAGUUAUAUCUUAACUUGGCCCCCCUUGAUUAAGUUGGCUGUUUGCUUUGAUAGAUAAUAAUACAUCUUGAAGGGUGUUUUUACAAAUGAGUCUAUCAAAUACUCCCUUCGUUCCUAAAUACUUGCACUAAAACAGCGACAAGUAUUUAGGAAUGGAGGGAGUAACGAAAUGAAGAGGAAUCAUCCAAACGAAACAAAAUUGUAAGCGAAACGGACCACCUUCCUUUUUUUGGUCCAAAGAAAAAACCUCUUUUCCAGUGCAAAAUCAAUAGAAACACAGAGGAAUUUCUGAGGAAAUACGAGAUGGUGACUUUAUCUAUUAUUACGUCUUGACUACAUCUUACUCCGCAAUUUCCAGAAAGUUAUGUGACGUGAGGCAGAGCGAGGUGAUCUCCGGGAGGUUCUAGGCGGCUAGGGUUUUCACACCUUAUGUUGGCGGCGCCUUGGCUCCGAUGGCUUUCUUGGCCAUGGAGGUGUCUUGUCUUAGGGUUUUUUUAGUGUCUUUUUCGAGAUGGCGAGGCGGCGGCGAAGGUCCUUCCCCUGUCCUCGCUCCACCGGUGCGCCUAGUGUUGGCGGAGGGCGCGUGGCUGUGUGUCCGGCGAACCCCUUGAGAUCCGGUCAGUUUUCUAGGUUUCUUCAAAUUCCUUGGGAUCCGGUCGGCUUUCGUGUUCAUUUGUGUGGUUUCAGUUCAGGCUCUUCUGAUCUACAAUUCUCAUAUUUGGUUAUGGUUACUACUCCGGUACGCUGGUCUUCUGAGGCCUUAGCACGACGGCUUACUCACAUUCGACUUGUUUUAGUUCUUGUUGCCGUCGCUGGGUUAUCCAAUAAUCUAUUUGUAAUUUUUAUUAGUUUUAAAACUUUUUACUGCUGUUGAUAAUUUAUCAAUAAAUUGAUUGACCUUUUUGCGCAAAAAAAAAAUUUAGCUGCUGCUUCCGGCGUUGCUCCUCCUAGCCAACCGACCGCCGUCCACGAGCCAUGGACAAGGAGGCAAAUCGAUGAGCAAGCGAUGUGUUAUCAACGGUCAACCAGGCAUCAACUUCGGUACAAAUGUCCCUGUGACUGUGAGGUAUGUAAUCAAGGGAGGACCAAGUUAGGAUAAAUAAUCAACCAGAGUACCAGACAUCAGCUUCGGUACAGAUUUUCAAUUCCUUCGGUGGUGGAAUGGCCAUUCGAAUCCAGAUUAUCUACAACUGGAGCUAAAUUGGAAAAAGAAAAAGAAUUUUCUCUGCCUGGCAAAAUAAUUCCGUCGCCGGGACUUGAACCCGGGUCUCUCGGGUGAGAGCCGAGUAUCCUAACCACCUAGACUACGACGGAUUUGUGGUAACUAGUGCCAGAAAUUGUUACUCAAUAUCAAUCAGAACUCACAGUUUUAACCACAUUAUUAAACCAAACUGUACUGUCAAGAUUAUAAAAGUCGUGGAGCAGAAAAGGUAACAUGGCAUAGUACAUAAAUCGGUCGGCUAUGAUUUUUAUAUUUUCUCUAGUAUUUUUUAUCUACAAAUUCAUUACGACAACAUCAACAAGUAUUCUUAAAAAUACAUGCAAGGGGACUGAGUGCAGUGAGCAGUCCCUUUCCCCUGUUGAGGAUUAGUCCAAACGCAUGCCCUCAUUUUCUGGAUAAAUGAGCAAUAUAGCUAAGGACGGAUGCUGGACCUAUACGCCUCGGUAGCUUAGCCCUUGGUCUUGCUGGAGUAUAGGCAGCUGUACAUGGCUGUACACCAUGUCAAGAUUACAGGUGCUUUGACAUCAGAUACCUCUCCGUGUUUGCAAAAUGAUGAAAACAAUAGGCAUCAGCCACCAUGGGUGAAUCCAAAUCGUGAUAGGAACAUGCCAUUGCAUGGGAAGGACUGUGCUCCAGUUAUUUGUUGACAAUACUUAUUGAAGGUUCUCAUGGGAUGCUACGAUACGACGCAGCUACAUGACCGACCUGAAUUUUAUAUUUCUUGACUCAUGUCAAAUGCUCCAUGCCGUGGUUGGAAUGAUGGCAUCUUAAUCCGACGGAAUGAAGCGCAGCGAUCUUUCUUCAGGGGAUUCAGCUUACCAGAAAAUAGACUGCUUAUGAUCCAGCUUGCUGGCUGCAAGAAAGAGCAGAAGGGAGAAUUAGAAGCACUGAAAAUGAUAAAGUAGUAGUUUGGAGAAAGGAUAAAGUGUAGAGAACGGUAAAGACAGUGUGAAUCGGGUAAACUUGUUUUAUUGGCAGCAGAAAAGCAAGCGUUCGGAUGAUUGCAUUUUUAUAAAAGUAAAAACAUGACUGAAUAACUUAUAUUACUUAUAAAGCUAGGAUUAAAUAUGUUGUGGCAAAUAUCGAAUUCUCUCCACGAAUUACUUAUAAAGCUAGGAUUCAUGCAUUCAAACACAGUCUACACUAUCUGAGCAAACUUGCAUAUCUUAUAUCCGGGAUGGAAGUUCUACAUUCAAGAUUUGACUAACCACUGUUUUAAUGUCAUGUUCCAUUCCGCAAUGGCUUAGAUGACGUGAUGCACUCGCCUCAUUUGCAACAAGAAUGAUUCCAUGUGAAGAACUUCUGUCCUUCAAGCUUCGAAUUAAUCCUUCCAGAGAUACAAAGACUUGGCCACCUCCAUGCUGUGAAGCACAAAUAUCAUACAAGGGCCUCAUAGAGACAGGGAAACCAGCUAUGUACAUACUUGAACAAAAACUGGCACAAAAAUAAAUCCUUCUAGAUAGUUGAAAUAAAAUUAAACGUGAAGUAAGAGUAAGACAAUGGCUAUUACGUAUUGCAAUUCACCAAAUAAGCUAUGGGAGUAUUGCUUGAUUAGUAGGUCAUCCAUCAUGUUUUCUGACCAACCAGGUCUGCAACAUACCUUGAUAAUGUUGGAAAAUUUUGAACAGAAACUGAUUUUGCCAUGGAUCAAGAAUCCUACUCCACGAAAUACCAAUCUGUCAUUUCGGAGGUGAACUGACUGGCCAAAUGUUAAACUCUCCUUUACUGCAUGCCUUUGUCGAAUUAAAUACCUGGCAAAAGGGGCAUAUCAAAAGUUGAGUAUCAAGGGCAUAUUAUCUCAUCCUAUUUCAUAUGGACAACAGAACAAUAUUUUCUUGUUGAAUUUUUAGCUGCUGAAAAGAAAGCUAUGACAACCAGUCUUCACAGCAAAGUUCCUUGGCCAUGUUUGAGACCAGAAUCGAUUGGCUUGGCUUUAUUAGAAAACAACACCGUCUAGAUGAAUAAUAUAGUGACCUAAAAGCAUCUACGCUGAAUUUCCAUGCGUUAUAUAUGGAAUAUUCAGAAUCACCGUACGGGGAACUAACCUAAUUAAUAAUGUCAGUGCUAGAUAACCUUUCAAAAGAUUAGUUCUUAGGUCGCCUAUGAUGGUUGACAACUAGACAAGUUCAACUAACUGAGCACAUCAAAUAUGAAAUAACUUUCAUUUCUUAGUAUAGCUUGGCAUCAAAUUGAGAAAAAAAAUCAUGUGGGCUUUUUGAUUGAUCUAAAAGUGCAAAUAUACUUCAGAGUAUUUGGUAAUUUCCCUUGAUUACUCCAAGAAAAAUAUGGAAAGGAAAUCUGAAGCUUUCACAAACAAGCAUGAGAUAAAAUAAAGAGUUUCAUUUUAACAUGAUAGGUAACAUGCAUUGAGUACACAGAAACAUCUUGGCACGUGUAGUGGAUGCUAGUAUUGCCUUACUUUCCAGGUGGCAAAAGGACACCAGCUUCAAUAGAAUCGAAAAGCCAAUUGGGAUUCAAAAUCCAGGAAUCCGUAGCGCAACCAUAUAAAAACUUAGCCGUUGAUACCUGUUAGAACAACCAACUAUCAGACACAAGUUUGUUGCAAUUUGGUCCACAAAUGAAUAGAUAAUUUGAAAUAAGAGCUAUUCCCACUGUUUCUACAAUAUAUCGAUAGAUGGUAUCCAAAAAGAAAGAAAGGAACUGGAAUAACAAACCUUUUUAGAGGAAAGAACCACGGGAGGCUUCCACCUUGCAAACUCUGCCAGCUUGCUUCUUUUAUCAAAUGUACAGGGUGGCACUUUGGAAAGAAUACAACCUCCAAAUUUUCGAAUUGCAGAUUCAAUCUCUUUUUCCUUAUGACUUUGCAAUCCAGUCAACAGAAACUCUAGUCCAUGAAAUAUGGCUUCCUUUUUGUCAAUGUAUUCUCUGGGCUCCAGCAUGUCAGCAGUUCUGCUAUCUGACCCUGCAAAGAUGAGAAAGCAGAGUAAGAAUCACCGAACACACAUAAAUGAUUCUGAAGGUAAUACUCAAUACAAAGUACAUCUCUAACACACGAGAUCAUAAAGCAGAACUUACAGCUGAAUCGAGAUUUAAACCUUCUGCUCUUGGUUUGUCUAGUACUAAGUUUAGGAUUCAAUAAUUGGGCUCCUUUUCUUUUAAGGUCUCGUUUACCAACAUUUAAACAUGUUGAUUGAGGACAAACUUCUGAUGGUACAUAUUUCUCUCUGCUUUGAUGCUCAUCUUUAUCCUGAGCAUGAGAUGACUUCUUCUGAACCAAAGAAAAUUCUUUCGAGCUUCCAGCUUCAGCAUUGUUUUCUAUGAAUUGAUUAGAGGCUUGCACACGCUGUAUCUUCUUAUUUAAGGUUAUUGGUGUGCCCCUCUUCUUCUGACAAACUGCCGCGUCAAUAUCAUUAUGAGUCGUACUACCUCCCAAUAUGUCUGAUAUAGGUUCUGAAGUACUAAAAUGCCUGAGUGAACUGUAUAUUCUGCGUCUCCAUGGACCAGAUUCUGGUGUCUUAUCUAAAGGCACAUAAGAUGGAUCGGCUGAUUCUGGUGCCUUAUCUAAAGGUACAUAAGAUGGAUUGACUGAUUCUGGUGCCUUAUCUAAAGGCGAAGAAGAUGGAUCGGCUUCUAAAUCCAGAUCUUUCUUGAGAGAUUCCUUGGGAUAUAUUGUUUCUCCCUGAUCACCAUUCCUCUGUUUGCAUUCAGGAGCUUGACUAAGGGAAACUUCAUUGCAAGAUAUGCUACAUGGAACAAAUGAACAGAGAGGAUCCCCAAGUGAUAAGCUUGAGCAUACUACUUGGUAGCACGACUCUGCACUUUGAUUCUCUUCGUAGAAACCUUCAGUUUUGCGGGGAAAAGAUGCUCUUGAAGACGCAACCAUUUCUAUGGAUCUUGCUCUAGGUGCAGGGGAGCACUCAUUUGUGGUAUCCAUUGACUCAGAAAUGAAGCUAGUUCUAAUAUGCUUCCUUGUGCCACCACCAACAUUUGUCUCUUCAACAACUCUUCCACAUUCCUGGAAAUAAAUUUGACAUUGUUAUUACAUAGAUGAAGAGUACUCAAUGAGAUAAGUAUAGGAUUAAUAUGAUACCAAAAAAUUUAUUGGCGACAUAGUUACCUUAAUGAUACUUUGACCUCUUACUGGAGUCCCAAAGCUACCUAUAGCUGGUUGCUUUACAGAAUCACAUCCUGGAGUUGAUUCAUUCGGGAGGUUACCAGCUGAGUUAUUAUUAUUUGCCAAAGAAUCAGGUACAUGGUCAUAAGUAUUAGCAUCUUGGCUGUGCCAUUUUGUAUUUUGCUCCCAGGAAGAACAAAUGUCUGAGAUGCGCUCCUCCAUAUCACGUGGGGCACAACUAGGCUGUGAGAUGUGCCGUUUUAUAUCAAUUGUGUUGUAGCCUUGAGAUGAACAAGCUGUUUGAACAGUAGACAGGCCAACAUCUUCGAAUGCAUCAAGCAUCUCGACCUCAUCCAAUUCUGCAAGCCAAUCCCUCUCAUCUAGAUCAUUUUCAAAGGAUCCACAAUCAUGUUCUGUCUCCUCAAGACAAUACUGUUUCCGAGCUUCUUUUACAUGCAGAGCAGAUUCCAAGGCAGCUGCAGCCAACUUAUCAGGCUGGCAAUCAUUAAUGAUCAUUUCUGCAAUAAGAAUAGCCUCGGAGGCAGCAAUGGAUAGCUCAACUGCAUCGUUAGCAUCUACAUUACGGAGCUUCUGAACAUCAACCUUUCCACCAGAUAACUGAUGUCUUCUUGCACCAAGCGGUUUAAUGAUAUCCUUGCUAGGCACUCUACAAACUUCUAGUAGCUUAUCAUCCUUGAAGCCUUUAGCUUCCAAUUGAUAUUGGGGCACAGCCUUGAUCUCUUGUCCUUGACCAUCAACAUAAGAUCCCUCUAAUGAUCCACUGCAUGUACCGGAGUUUAUAAUCUGAGGGACAACAUUGGCUCUAGCUGAGGAGAGUUGUGCAGUACUUUCUGAUGAAAGGUGCAAAGAGAAAGGCCGUACCUGGAGGGAAAGCAUUAAAAAUGUAUGUUAUAACAGCACAAGACAAGAAGAUUUUGUCUCUGCAGCAAAGAAAGAGUUGAUAUUUUGGCUUUCACAAGCCAAUGUUUGCUAUUAUAGUAACGUGUUCGCUCACAAUGCAAUCCACCAAAGUGAUUGACAAUAAAAAAAAACAUAUGCACAAAGUAGCCAAUUAAACUCACAAGCACAAAUAGAAUGAAGAAGUACACAGCAGGCAAGAUGAGAAUGGCAUGCUGAACCUAUAAUUUUCUUCCUUCCACAUUCAAGGGAAGAUUAGACACGGAGUAAAGAAGUUAACUGGGUAAGUGUGCAUCCCUGGAACAAAAACUGUAUCUCGGGGAGAAGGACAAACCAAUAAAGCCAUAAUUGUUUUGGGUUGUAUUAUUGAAGGCUACAUGUACAUGUAGUACUCUUCUGAUUUAUUUGAUUGAAUUCAAAGAAUGACAAUAACCUAUGUCGUGGCUCAACUUCUGUGGUUAGCAUCAAGAAUCUAUGUGGCCCAAGCAAGGAACUUCAUCUCAUAAGCUUACCUCUCUGCCUGUUCGAAUACUUGCAGCAGGUGUAUCCUCAUCUCCUGACAAAUGCAAACGUAACCCGCUGUAACCACCAGCAUUUGCCAUGGCAUUGUGACAAUGCUGUUGCUCUUGCACAGGAUCCCCAAUAUACACACAGUUCUGCAGUUGUAUGAGGAAAACACAGGCAUCAGAUCAGAACACACAGCGCCCCGAGAUACAUAGCUAUAUAUGCAGAUGUAUUAAGAUCCAACUCAAUCGUGUGUCAUUCUCUACCAUGUACAUCGGCUUCGGCUAUUGUUUGUUUGCCUUAUUUAUGAGGUUCUAUAUGUAGGAGAGAAAAUAAACUACCGAACCAGGUUUCACCUGCUCCCAUCACAUGAAUAAUGAAAAUACAGUACUAAACAUGUUCUUACAAACAUUGGGAAAGGUUACCACCAAUCGAUGCACAAGUAAUAGCAGAAAAGCACCUCACAAGGUGGCGACGAAAUGCCGUCGCUGUCUCUUCGGUGUUCACCGACCGUCGGCUGCCGAUGCGGCUGAAGCCAUUGCGGGAGCCAAGUAUUAUCCUGAAGGACACAAAGGUAGGGGUUAGAAGAGGACGCAUCCCAGUGAUCCCACGCAGUUCACAUCUGGCGCCAAUCGCAUCUCCCUCCAUCCCCAGAGGGAGAGAGAGAGAGAGAGAGAGAUUACCUCGGAGAAGAGCGGCGAGUGGUAGCCGCAGGUCGACAUGGCGGCGGGGCAGUCGACGGCUGGGCGCCGCCACGAGAAGACGGGGAGGGGCGGCGCGAGGUCUUCUCGUUUUCUUUUUCUUUUUCUUUUUCUGAUUCGCGCCAGAAUCAAAGCAAAGACCUGGUCCUGUUGGCUGUUUCCGGGGGGGGGGAGGGGCAGAAAUCCAAUUCGGCUGUCUGACAAGUGGGGCCAGGCUGCCUCCACAGCGAAGCCGUGACGCCUUUUUACUGGGCUAGUUGCCAAUUCUUACUGAGAACGCAAUUUCCGAAUAUACUGACCGCACUAGUUCAACAAUUAUUAACCCCGUUUGGACGUACAUAUCGAAGCUUGGAACUCAGAAUUUAGAAUGGGAACUUGUGAAUUCUGCUGUUUAGAUGCCCAUAGAAUUGAGAAUGGGUUUUUGGUAUUGGCCUUCAACUAAAAGAACCUCAUCACAAUUCGGAGUCUCCCCCUCUUUGAAUUGGUUGGAAUUGGACUAUAGCUGCCCCUGUCACCACCGGCAACUACUAUGACGAGCUCCGGCGAACUCUCGCCAAAUUCAAUUCUAUGGACAUUGGAACAUAAAAAUUGGAAUCACUUGUUAUCUUCAACUGGCAAUAUCUUCUACAACCAAAGAACAUAACUUCUAUUAGAGCUCAUUUCAACACAAAUGCUCAUUUGGUAUUAGAGCCAAUUCAAUUCCAAGGCCUUGAAUAUCUAACACUAAACAAAGCCCAGGUAAUUUUCUACAUUUUUUUUAUUAUAAUGAUUCUUUUUUUGCAUAAGUUUUGAAUAUAGCAGGAACACCGUAUCCACUCGACGAGGACACGGGUUUGUCGAAACAUAUACUUAUUAGGUACAGAUUUCUCAGGAUCAUACAUGACACUCAACAGUAACAGAUUACGCCUUUCAAAUAAAAGCAACCGAUUUACAUGGCCAAUUAUUAGAAAAUUAAGGAGGGUAGUUCAAUCUUAUACACAGUAUCAUGCUUGGACCUGAGCUCUGACGAUAAAAAAGAAGAAGAAAGAAAACCUAUAGCAAAAUUGGUCAUAAGAGCCAGAAUGUCCCAAAGUUUCAGGAAAGAAUGAACACAGCUACACAGGUUACUGACUGCACGAUCACUCGGAUCAGACGAUACAAACAACAGAUGGGUGUCAAUGCUCCGAAAAUCGCUAACUCUUCAAAUCCGCGAGCGCAGUCUUGGUGGCAGCGGAAAUCACGGCGUCCGAAGCAUUUGGCAGGUAAUAAUAUUUCCCUGCAAAGCAUGGAGAAGAAGUUCAGUUCAUGGAGGUAUUGCAGGAAGUUAGUUUACAGUACAUUGGUGCUAACUGCUAAGUGAUGUAGAUAUUUCUCUCUUUAAGGUGAUGAAAAGGUUAGUUACUUCCCCUCGGAGUCAACUCAUGUUACCAUGAGAGUUUGUACAAAAGUCCAAACAAGAACGGACAUGGUUUCCUAAAGCGUUAGAUGGAGUGGCGUAACUAUUUCUGGUAAUACGAGAGAUUUCAUGUUGCGAAUACCUUGGGCAACCCUUGCAAUUUCCUUGGCGAAUCCCGUAGAUACAAACUUGUUCUCAGUAUCAAUGACAAGAAGUGACAUUCCUGCCUUGUAUAUUUUGGCAGACACCUCAAGAAUCUCAUCCUUGCAAGAGGAAGCGAAUUUAUCGUUUGAGCGCAGCAGGAAGUUUCAAAAUGACGCACAGGCUUCAAAAAUAGAUACUUUUCACAUCAUUACACUGUUCGAUGUUAGGAUACGAUUUGUACCUUUAAUUCUUGAGUAGAAGGUCUUGGUGCAUCUGAAGCAGCAGCAGCUUCUGGAUCAUUGGAUUUCUUCAGUGAUACAUUAGCUCUUCCAUCGGUAAUUGCAACGAUCAUAAUACGUCCAACAUCGCCACUCUUCUCAGCAUUCAACCCCACUCUGACAGCCUUGAAAUAGAAACCACAAUGUUAUCCAGAUUAUAGAUACCCAGGCCCUAUAGAAAACUUCAACACUAUGCAAAUCUUGGUUCUUACUGUACUGAGGCCAUGAGCUAAAGGAGAACCACCACCACAUGGUAGCUUUUCAAGACGUUUGCGUGCCAUUGCUA
Molecule: long non-coding RNA, 27163 nt
Filed under: Brachypodium distachyon (stiff brome)
Lineage: Eukaryota; Viridiplantae; Streptophyta; Magnoliopsida; Poales; Poaceae
Description: long non-coding RNA (BDIS_LNC000034)
Source: RNAcentral